AAUUCGCCCUUAGAGUUUGAUCAUGGCUCAGAUUGAACGCUGGCGGCAUGCCUUACACAUGCAAGUCGAACGGUAACAGGUCUUCGGACGCUGACGAGUGGCGAACGGGUGAGUAAUACAUCGGAACGUGCCCAGUCGUGGGGGAUAACUACUCGAAAGAGUAGCUAAUACCGCAUACGAUCUGAGGAUGAAAGCGGGGGACCUUCGGGCCUCGCGCGAUUGGAGCGGCCGAUGGCAGAUUAGGUAGUUGGUGGGAUAAAAGCUUACCAAGCCGACGAUCUGUAGCUGGUCUGAGAGGACGACCAGCCACACUGGGACUGAGACACGGCCCAGACUCCUACGGGAGGCAGCAGUGGGGAAUUUUGGACAAUGGGCGAAAGCCUGAUCCAGCAAUGCCGCGUGCAGGAUGAAGGCCUUCGGGUUGUAAACUGCUUUUGUACGGAACGAAAAAGCUU
RNAcentral lists this ribosomal RNA (455 nucleotides) under uncultured bacterium. RNAcentral describes it as "bacterial SSU rRNA". It matches the Rfam family "Bacterial small subunit ribosomal RNA", at positions 1 to 456 of the family's 1533-position model. The record is from RNAcentral.